RNAcentral lists this ribosomal RNA (495 nucleotides) under uncultured bacterium. RNAcentral describes it as "partial 16S ribosomal RNA". It matches the Rfam family "Bacterial small subunit ribosomal RNA", at positions 29 to 506 of the family's 1533-position model. The record is from RNAcentral.
AUGAACGCUGGCGGCGUGCCUAAUACAUGCAAGUCGAGCGAACGGACGAGAAGCUUGCUUCUCUGAUGUUAGCGGCGGACGGGUGAGUAACACGUGGAUAACCUACCUAUAAGACUGGGAUAACUUCGGGAAACCGGAGCUAAUACCGGAUGAUAUUUUGAACCGCAUGGUUCAAAAGUGAAAGACGGUCUUGCUGUCACUUAUAGAUGGAUCCGCGCUGCAUUAGCUAGUUGGUAAGGUAACGGCUUACCAAGGCAACGAUGCAUAGCCGACCUGAGAGGGUGAUCGGCCACACUGGAACUGAGACACGGUCCAGACUCCUACGGGAGGCAGCAGUAGGGAAUCUUCCGCAAUGGGCGAAAGCCUGACGGAGCAACGCCGCGUGAGUGAUGAAGGUCUUCGGAUCGUAAAACUCUGUUAUUAGGGAAGAACAUAUGUGUAAGUAACUGUGCACAUCUUGACGGUACCUAAUCAGAAAGCCACGGCUAACUACGU